UACGUAGGGCGCAAGCGUUAUCCGGAUUUAUUGGGCGUAAAGAGCUCGUAGGCGGUUUGUCGCGUCUAUCGUGAAAGUCCGAGGCUCAACCUCGGAUCUGCGGUGGGUACGGGCAGACUAGAGUGAUGUAGGGGAGACUGGAAUUCCUGGUGUAGCGGUGAAAUGCGCAGAUAUCAGGAGGAACACCGAUGGCGAAGGCAGGUCUCUGGGCUGUUACUGACGCUGAGGAGCGAAAGCAUGGGGAGCGAACAGG
RNAcentral lists this ribosomal RNA (253 nucleotides) under uncultured prokaryote. RNAcentral describes it as "partial 16S ribosomal RNA". It matches the Rfam family "Bacterial small subunit ribosomal RNA", at positions 524 to 776 of the family's 1533-position model. The record is from RNAcentral.